This 1634-nucleotide ribosomal RNA is filed under the name human gut metagenome. Its description in RNAcentral is "bacterial LSU rRNA". It matches the Rfam family "Bacterial large subunit ribosomal RNA", at positions 1000 to 2661 of the family's 2925-position model. The record is from RNAcentral.
AAGUUGGGUGGUCAAAAGGGAAAGAGCCCAGACCUACAGCUAAGGUCCCAAAGUGCGUGUUAAGUGGAAAAGGAUGUGGGAUUUCGAAGACAACCAGGAUGUUGGCUCAGAAGCAGCCACACAUUCAAAGAGUGCGUAAUAGCUCACUGGUCGAGAGGUCCUGCGCCGAAAAUGUCCGGGGCUCAAACACGCCACCGAAGCUCAGGAAUGUAUUUAUACAUUGGUAGAGGAGCAUUGUCAGUGCACUGAAGCUGUACCGGUAAGGAGCAGUGGAGCGCUGAGAAGAGAGAAUGCCGGAAUGAGUAGCGAGAAAGAGGUGGGAAUCCUCUUGGCCGAAUAUCCAAGGAUUCCGGGGUAAAGCUGAUCUGCCCCGGGUAAGUCGGGACCUAAGGCGAGGCAGAAAUGCGUAGCCGAUGGACAGCAGGUGGAGAUUCCUGCACUGCCAUAUAUCAGAAAUGUGGGGACGCAUCAGGAAAGUGUGGGCCGGGAAAGGAAAGACCGGUGCAAGCGGAGGAGGGGACAUGCAGGCAAAUCCGCAUGUCAACCCAAGAGCGUUAUGCGGAGCGAAGAAUAGUAGCGAAGCACACGGACAGGGUGCCGAGAAAAGCCGCUAUCGUGUAUAUGGUACCCGUACCGUAAACCGACACAGGUGGAUGAGGAGAGAAUCCUAAGGCCGGCGGGAGAAGCAUUGUUAAGGAACUCGGCAAAAUGACCCCGUAACUUCGGGAGAAGGGGUGCCACAGAGAUGUGGCCGCAGAGAAUAGGCUCAAGCAACUGUUUAGCAAAAACACAGGUCUAUGCGAAACCGAAAGGUGAGGUAUAUGGGCUGACGCCUGCCCGGUGCUGGAAGGUUAAGAGGAGAGGUCAGGAAACGAAGCCUUGAAUUGAAGCCCCAGUAAACGGCGGCCGUAACUAUAACGGUCCUAAGGUAGCGAAAUUCCUUGUCGGGUAAGUUCCGACCCGCACGAAAGGCGUAAUGAUUUGAGCGCUGUCUCGACAAUGCACCCGGUGAAAUUGAAGUACCAGUGAAGAUGCUGGUUACCCGCGCCAGGACGGAAAGACCCCAUGGAGCUUUACUCCAGCUUGAUACUGGGAUCCGGUGUCCAAUGUACAGGAUAGGUGGGAGGCUGAGAGCCAUGAACGCAAGUUUAUGGGGAGCCGCUGUUGGGAUACCACCCUUUGGGUACUGGAUUUCUAACCUGCGCCCGUGACCCGGGCGGGGGACAAUGUCUGGCGGGGAGUUUGACUGGGGCGGUCGCCUCCGAAAGGGUAUCGGAGGCGCUCAAAGGUUCCCUCAGAAUGGUUGGAAACCAUUCGAAGAGUGCAAAGGCAGAAGGGAGCUUGACUGCGACACCGACGGGUGGAGCAGGUACGAAAGUAGGACUUAGUGAUCCGGUGGUAUAAAGUGGGAUUGCCAUCGCUCAACGGAUAAAAGCUACCCUGGGGAUAACAGGCUUAUCACUCCCAAGAGUUCACAUCGACGGAGUGGUUUGGCACCUCGAUGUCGGCUCAUCGCAUCCUGGGGCUGUAGCAGGUCCCAAGGGUUGGGCUGUUCGCCCAUUAAAGCGGUACGCGAGCUGGGUUCAGAACGUCGUGAGACAGUUCGGUCCCUAUCCGGCGCGGGCGGAGGAUAU